GACGAACGCUGGCGGCGUGCCUAAUACAUGCAAGUAGAACGCUGAAGGAGGAGCUUGCUUCUCUGGAUGAGUUGCGAACGCGUGAGUAACGCGUAGGUAACCUGCCUGGUAGCGGGGGAUAACUAUUGGAAACGAUAGCUAAUACCGCAUAAUAGUAGAUGUUGCAUGACAUUUGCUUAAAAGGUGCAAUUUCAUCACUACCAGAUGGACCUGCGUUGUAUUAGCUAGUUGGUGAGGUAACGGCUCACCAAGGCGACGAUACAUAGCCGACCUGAGAGGGGGGUCGGCCCAACUGGGAAUGAGACACGGCCCAGAAUCCUACGGGAGGCAGCAGUAGGGAAUCUUUGGCAAUGGACGGAAGUCUGACCGAGCAAAGCCGCGUGAGUGAAGGAGGGUUUCGGAUCGGAAAGCUCUGUUGUAAGAGAAGAAAGAGUGUGAUAGUGGAAAGUUCACACUGUGACGGUAUCUAACCAGAAAGGGACGGCUAACUACGUG
This 495-nucleotide ribosomal RNA is filed under the name uncultured bacterium. Its description in RNAcentral is "partial 16S ribosomal RNA". It matches the Rfam family "Bacterial small subunit ribosomal RNA", at positions 28 to 507 of the family's 1533-position model. The record is from RNAcentral.